Molecule: long non-coding RNA, 3053 nt
Organism: Anguilla rostrata (American eel)
Lineage: Eukaryota; Metazoa; Chordata; Actinopteri; Anguilliformes; Anguillidae
Exons: 4
Source: RefSeq, a predicted model, not a curated record
UAGAGAAGGGGCAUGUGGACUGGACUGUAGAUCACAGUAUUAUUCUUUUCCCAUGUAAAGUUGGUUGCACCUGCGGCAGUUUUUGGAACUUUUCCUGGAAAGGCCAGUGAAUACUCUCACUACUGCCAGAUGAAGCCAUGAAUCGCAUUGCACUCAUGCCCUUUCUUCUGCUCACUAUGAUGCUGCUGCUGUGGGGUGCAGUGUCUGUCAUUUCAGCUCAAGGCCAGCAGCUGUGCUUUUCCAAACAGCACCAGGAGAAGACCAUAAAUGUCAGGGUUGCACUCUCAAAAAAGACAACAAUCAUGCAUGCAGUUUGCCAUCCUUCUGAACUGGAUUGCCUGAAGGCUUGCUGCUCCACUGAUCCAAAAGAUUUUAAUUGCAACAUAGCUAUUUUCAAGCCUGGAAAACUACAAGGAACUGAAAACUGUUAUUUGUUUCACUGCAAAAGAGAUGAAGAUUGUCCUCUAAUGACCAUGCAUGGGGUCAAUACCUACAAUAUAUUUAAAGGUUUGGAGAUAAUAAAUGCUGUGUCAACUGCAAGAAACAGAACUACUGCAGCCACAACUACGACUCAUUCUACUACAACUCCAGCAUCUAUCACUCUGCUAACACCCACCACUACGACUACCAGACCCUCUAUUAGUACUUCAACACCUACCACCACUAAAGCAAGCACUUGUACCGCCACUGUUGUUAUUGCCCGAAAACCACACCAACCCACUGAAAAACCACCUAUAGAUCCAAAUAUAUCACUGCAAGUCACACCAAUAACAAAUACAGUAUCCACAACGGCAACUAAAAUUUUUACACCACCCAUAUUUAUUUCCAUAGCUCAAUCAGCACACCCCCGCACUGACCAUGUCUACCCUGACAGCUUGACUCCUCUAGCAGGGAGAGAUACUAACAACCUGGGAGCAGUGAAAUACAGCCUGGUAGCUGCUGUGGCAGUGGGACUAGUGUGUUUGACCUGCUUUGUGGCCUUGGUGGGAAGGAAAGCUGCAGAAUCAUUCAACCAUAGACAAUACACACGCUUGGAGCUUAACAACCUAAAAUAUGACAUCUAAAGUACAUCUGCUUAGACACAAUGACAUCAAGUUGGGCAUCUGACCUGCCCUUGUGUCUGGAACUUGAAGCUCAUUCACCACAUUAACUAUAAUGCAAAUUUCUGAGCAGUGAAAAGAGCCUUAUUACUCAUGUAAUUACUCUGUGUCUCUGACCGUUUUUUUUUCUUGUUUCUCUUGACUUCCAUUGGCACAACUGUGGUCCUUAUGUUGACAAACAUCCAUAACAUACUCCACAGGCAAUCAAAAAGGCAACCAAAAAAGCAAUUGAACUGACCAGUUAUGAUUCUCUGAAUUUAUAUGGUGAAACAAUUUUUUUAAAUACCCUUAAAUGACUUUAAAAUUACUUUAACCGGAUCUGAAUGGUUUGAUCACAAAUCUAAAAUUGUACAAAUCAAGAAAAAAAGAUGUAAUUGUCCCAAACAUUAUGGUGUUCAUAUGUCUACAUCUAAUCAUGUCAUAUCUUUAUCUUAUAUUAAUAAACAUCUGCUGGUAGAAUGUACCCCGUAUAGGAAGGAAAUUAUUCUUUACAGUGUGUGAUUUUUUUAUUUGCCAUCUGAAUCAAUAAAAUCUAAAAUUUUUACAAAAACUUUUUUUUGAGGCAUCCUUGGCUCAGUUAGGUCAGGAACCCACAUUGCCAGGUCACACGCUCUGGUUGCUUGGCCCCUUCCUACUUACUGAAAUCACUGCUUUGGGCAGUAUUAUUGCAGUAAGAGUUCAAUCCUCAACAGUGUAAGCCAAGCUGGCAGUUUCCACCUCACAGCUCAAGCUGAGCUCCCAGCUUCAAACUUGCAGAUCUCAACUCCCCGCUCACUCUGCUAUCUUUGGGUUACUGUAGGUUACACAUAUGUAUGCCCAACACCACAAGCCACCAGAACAGCUUCAAUGCACUUUGGCAUAGAUUAUACAAGUCUCUGGAACUCUACUGGAGGGCUGGAACAUCAUCCUUCCAAAAGAUAUCCCUCAUUUGGUGUUUAGAUGAUAGUGGUGGAGAGCACUGUCUAACACUUAUGCCAAAAUCUGUCAUAAGUGUUGACAACUGGGUUGAGAUCUGGUGACUACGAAGGCCAAAGCAUAUGAUUCCCAUAAUUUUGAUACUCAAACAAUUCAGGGACCCUGUGGAAGUAUGGGUUUUCUUCAUUCUUUUAAUGUUUUUACAUUUCUUCUUAUUAAAGAUUGUACUGAUCAAGUAUAUAUUUAAAUGUAUGUGAUUAUGGGAUGAUCUCUGAAGAACAAUAGGUAUUCUGUGUUAUGUCUAUUUGUAACUAAGGAAAGACAGUGGUCUCCUUGUACACUGAUGCAUACUACCUAAAGAAUCUUUGACCCCCAGUUGCAGGAGGGAAAAUUGUAAACAUUUACUUGGGUGGAAUUUUGUAAGUAACUUCUGGUGGGAAACAGUCUUGUGCAGAACACCUUUGAGUUGUAAGAGAAGAGAAAGAAUACUGAUUUAGAAAGAACUGAGUUGCUAUAUCUAGUAAAUGUAUAGAUUAUAUUCUAUUAAAAUGAAUGAAUGAAAAUCAAAGUAAUCACGGCAACAGUAUUGAUAUAAACAUAGUUUGUUAGAACAUGGUGGUAUGUAUAUGAGUCAAUAUUUCAGUUGGAUUACAGCAUGUAGUGAAUGCAUGUAAAGUGCAUGUACUUUGAAACUGGAAGAUGGAACAAUUGUUAACCAUGAGGACAAAUACUUGUUAUUCAAGUCAUGCAUAUAUAUUUCUCUGUAAGUGUGUAGUGAGAUAUCUGUCAUUGAUUAAAAUGGAAGAUUAUAUAAUAGUUAUUGUUAAACUAACUUAUGAAACAUAUGUUUGACCUAGGCUGGGAUUGGUUAUUUUAAAGGGAAGAUACAUCAGGGUAGGAGGAGAUCUGGUUGUAUAAAAAGGAUGUAAAAAAAUAAUGGGAAGCAGCUCUCUAUGUAUCUUUAUGGUACUAGAGACCUCCCGUAGGCCUACGUACAUGAAAAGGAUUAUUGAUUAAAGAGAAUAAAAAAGGUUAUUA